This 301-nucleotide ribosomal RNA is filed under the name uncultured bacterium. RNAcentral's name for it is "partial 16S ribosomal RNA". It matches the Rfam family "Bacterial small subunit ribosomal RNA", at positions 509 to 807 of the family's 1533-position model. The record is from RNAcentral.
CAGUAGCCACGGGAAUACGUAGGUGGCAAGCGUUGUCCGGAAUUAUUGGGCGUAAAGGGCUCGCAGGCGGUUUCUUAAGUCUGAUGUGAAAGCCCCCGGCUCAACCGGGGAGGGUCAUUGGAAGCUGGGAAACUUGAGUGCAGAAGAGGAGAGUGGAAUUCCACGUGUAGCGGUGAAAUGCGUAGAGAUGUGGAGGAACACCAGUGGCGAAGGCGACUCUCUGGUCUGUAACUGACGCUGAGGAGCGAAAGCGUGGGGAGCGAACAGGAUUAGAUACCCCCGUAGUCCCUGUCUCUUAUAC